AUACGUAAAAAGGAAACCCCUUUCAAAGUCUAACUCCCCGAACACGAACAGCAUCGGCAUGCGCAGUGAGACCCUCCAACUCAGCAAGACGAAUAACAGUAGGGCCCAACCGCUGGAUUCCUUCUUCAGUGAGCUCUUGGGUAGUGAUAUAUUUUAAGAAGCUAUCGGUACUAACGCCAGAAUAAGAAGAGGCGUACCCGUAUGUAGGAAGCGUAUGGUUGGUACCAGACGCAUAGUCACCCAUACUUACAGGUGACCAAGGACCAACGAAAACGCUACCAGCAUUAUCUAUUUUGGGAAUGUAUGAAGAAGCAUUUUUUAAGUGCAAGACCAAGUGCUCAGGACCAUACAAAUUAGACCAUUCAAAAGCUUGAUCAACAUUGUCAACCUGUACAAUAACCGACUUCUUGAUAGCAUGUUUGAUGAUAUACGAACGAGAAAGUCGUAAAGCGUGAUCAUUAAUUGCUUUUUGAAUACGGUCAAACAUUUCGGGAGAUAGAGAGACAGUCAGCAAAAUGAUCUGACUGUCCAAACCAUGCUCUGCUUGAGACAAUAAAUCCAAGGCAACACUUUCAGGAUUACAGGUCUCAUCUGCUAUUACCAAAACUUCUGAGGGACCAGCAGGAAGAUCAAUAGCAACUAAAGCCCCGUAAUCAUUCUGAACAUGCAUCUUUGCAGCUGUAACAAAUUGAUUUCCAGGGCCAAAAAUUUUGUUAACUUUAGGAACACCGGAUAUUCCAUAUGCCAUGGCCGCAAUUGCUUGCGCCCCGCCUGCCAAAAUAAUAGCCUCAGCACCAAUUUUAUUUGCAAUAUAUACAAUUUCAGGCGCAACCGUACCAUCCUUUCGGACUGGCGUAGAAAUCACUACAUGAGGACAGCCAGCUACCUUCGCCGGAACUCCAAGCAUCAAAGCAGUAGAUGGCAACACUGCAGUUCCUCCAGGGAUAUAAAGACCAACUCGGUUAAUAGGACGAGACAUCCGUUGACAGACUACACCACGCAUGGUUUGAACAGCAAUUGUAGGACGCAGCUGUGAUGAAUGGAAAGCAAAAAUAUUGUUAAAAGCAAUAUCAAUAUCCUCUUUAAUCAUUGGGGAUAUUUUCAUUAAGUCGUCGUCAAACGGAGCCUUUAAGACAGCCGACUUCAAUUGAACCUUUUCAAAUUUGGAAGCAUAAUCUAUUAGAGAAGCUUCUCCUCUUGAUUUAACAUCCUCGAUUAUCGGUUGGACAAUCGUACGAAUUUUUUGAGUGUUCUGAAUGGGUCUUGCAAGUAAUCGUGUACGUUCUUCGGCGGUUAAUGCAGCAGCUCUAUAAGAAGGCACCUGAAUCUCGUAUUCCGGCAUUAUUAAGUAAAUUAAAGGUAGUCAAGUCUAAAUCGACUCUCUAAAAAUUUAAUGCAAUGUUGGCUAAGGAAUGGCUGGAUCGGUGAAUACUCGAUUUCCCUUACAGCAAAGAUCUAAAUUUGAUAUGUCUUCGGAUAAACCGCGGUUGCAACUUUUUAUCCGCGGUAAUAGAAUUAACAAAGAUCGAGAGAAACAAAAAAAAAUUUAUUAAAUAAUCGUAGUUGUAUUAUUAAAAUUAAUCUAAAACGUUUCAUCUUCAUUGGCAUUACAAUCUUUAGUAUAGUGAAGAAUCCACGAAAGCACUUCUUUAUGCCAACGUAGGGAAUUAUCAGGUUUAAUGACCCAAUGGUUUUCGUCUUCAAAGACUAGUAAUCUGCUAGGAAUUCCCUUGUACUGCAAAACAUUGAAUGCGGCUAUUCCUUCACUUUCGGUAAGCCUGUAAUCCUUUGAGCUAUGAAUUACAAGUUCAGGAGUGGCCCAAUAAUUCACAAAAUUUGAAGGAUUCCAGCGCUCAUAGAUAACUCUGUUUUCCCAAGGAGUACCCCCAAAAU
Molecule: non-coding RNA, 1893 nt
Organism: Schizosaccharomyces pombe (fission yeast)
Lineage: Eukaryota; Fungi; Ascomycota; Schizosaccharomycetes; Schizosaccharomycetales; Schizosaccharomycetaceae
Source: the annotation of a GenBank genome assembly